Molecule: long non-coding RNA, 428 nt
Filed under: Olea europaea (common olive)
Lineage: Eukaryota; Viridiplantae; Streptophyta; Magnoliopsida; Lamiales; Oleaceae
Description: long non-coding RNA (OEUR_LNC004224)
Source: RNAcentral
UCAAGACAGGCGGUGUCAAAAACUGUGAACAAAUCUAAACCAAAUUUACAGAUAAAGGGAUUUUUAUUUAUUUUUUUUAAUUUUAUUUUUUUGGGGGGUCGGGGGUUCUCAGCACCAAUGCGCAAUAUUCUAGUCUACUUAUUUCUUUGUAACUUAAAUGUGGAUGCCAUCUCCAAAAGUAAAAAAAAGAGGAUUUCUGCUGAUGUUGCCUGGUUUGAUGACUUCCCACCUAACAAGAUUCGCAAUAAAUAAACGAUACAGGCAUAUACAAAUCCUAUAUCGAGCCAGAGAAUGAUAUGUAACAGAUUACCUGUAUUCGGUGAUCAAAACAUGAAAGAACACAUACAAAUACUCUCUCAUUCCUCCUCGAAAGGCAUGAAAUUUCUCGAUGCAUUACUUGUAUGUAUCAAAGUCCUGUAUAUGAUGAA